RNAcentral lists this long non-coding RNA (222 nucleotides) under Solanum tuberosum (potato). Its description in RNAcentral is "long non-coding RNA (STUB_LNC003815)". Lineage: Eukaryota; Viridiplantae; Streptophyta; Magnoliopsida; Solanales; Solanaceae. The record is from RNAcentral.
CCUCCUAUUCAAAUUAUAUAAUAUUCAUGUGAAUACAACAAUUGACUAACAUACUUUGAAAACAAUGAACUCGUACAUUUGUUUGAACAAUAUAAGUAUUAAUGUAUCAUGUACAACCCAACAAUAUGACAAAAUGAAACUAAAACAAUACAAUUAUACAGGUGUAUAACCCAUCAAUAUGUUAUUACGAAUCUUUGUUCCCUUCUUGAUCUCCAUUGCAAC